GGAUUGAAAAUAGACUAUUAGUAUCAAACAAAGGUGGACAGCUUUUUGGAAUUUUAAGUGAAAACACAAAACCGUAAUAACUUUAAAAAGAAGGGAGGCAAGGCAAAACAUAUAAUAGUUCAAAUAUCCAAUUAUUCAAUUCAAAGCUCGUAUUUUAUUAAGUAUUAUUAUCAAUCCAACUUUGAUAGCCGCGAAGUAAAUUUUGAGAGCAUAAUCUGAAUAGCAUUCUGUAGUUAUCACAUCAUGAACCCUCCUCUCCUUCUGAAAGAAGCCAUGCGUAGCUGCGUUGAGAAACAACUAACUUCGAAGUCAUCAACGCCGAAGCAGUUGCCGAAUGAAACGGCAACAUAG
This 351-nucleotide long non-coding RNA is filed under the name Medicago truncatula (barrel medic). Its description in RNAcentral is "lncRNA gene12014". Lineage: Eukaryota; Viridiplantae; Streptophyta; Magnoliopsida; Fabales; Fabaceae. The record is from RNAcentral.